UACGUAGGUGGCAAGCGUUGUCCGGAUUUACUGGGCGUAAAGAGCGCGCAGGCGGUCGAUUUAGUCGCGUGUGAAAGCCCCCGGCUCAACUGGGGAGGGUCACGCGAUACUGAUCGACUCGAAGGCAGGAGAGGGUAGUGGAAUUCCCGGUGUAGUGGUGAAAUGCGUAGAUAUCGGGAGGAACACCAGUGGCGAAGGCGGUUCUCUGGGACGAUACUGACGCUGAGACGCGAAAGCGUGGGGAGCGAACAGG
RNAcentral lists this ribosomal RNA (253 nucleotides) under uncultured bacterium. Its description in RNAcentral is "partial 16S ribosomal RNA". It matches the Rfam family "Bacterial small subunit ribosomal RNA", at positions 524 to 776 of the family's 1533-position model. The record is from RNAcentral.